RNAcentral lists this unclassified non-coding RNA (2434 nucleotides) under Homo sapiens (human). RNAcentral describes it as "ATM interactor (ENSG00000291953.1)". Lineage: Eukaryota; Metazoa; Chordata; Mammalia; Primates; Hominidae. The record is from RNAcentral.
ACUCUAGGCCAGCAGUGACAUAAUUCAAAAGCGCAAGUCAUUGAAAGCAGUUCUGCGAAUAUGUAGCUUUUGAUGAUCAGGAGUAAAUUUAGAGUACCCAGAAUAUUGCAUGUUCUGUCUGCCCAUAGUCAGGCUUCUGAUAAGAAUUUCACAGCAGAAAACUCUGAGGUUGUAGUCUCUAGUAGGACAGAUGUGUCGCCAAUGAAGAGUGAUCUGCUCUUACCACCAUCUAAACCGGGAUGCAACAACGUUCUCAAUUGAAGAUCAGGGAGCCAGUCAGGAAAUGUACCUGAGGAUGGCAUAGUCAAUCCAACAAUAAGAAAAGAUUUGAAAACUGGACCGAAAUUCUACUGCUGUCCAAUUGAAGGCUGCCCCAGAGGCCCUGAGAGACCGUUUUCUCAGUUUUCUCUCGUAAAACAGGGACCCACCUAGUAAGAAAAGGAAAAUGGAAAACUGUGCACAAAACCAGAAGUUAUCCAACAAGACCAUUGAAUCAUUGAACAACCAACCAAUCCCUAGACCAGACACUCAAGAACUAGAAGCUUCAGAAAUAAAGCUAGAACCAUCUUUUGAAGACUCUUGUGGCUCUAACACUGACAAGCAGACUCUUACAACACCACCGAGAUAUCCUCAGAAGUUGCUUUUACCAAAGCCCAAAGUGGCUUUGGUUAAACUACCCGUGAUGCAGUUUUCUGUCAUGCCUGUCUUUGUGCCUACAGCCGACUCCUCAGCCCAGCCUGUGGUGUUAGGUGUUGAUCAGGGCUCUGCCACAGGGGCUGUGCACUUAAUGCCCUUGUCAGUAGGAACCCUGAUCCUCGGCCUAGAUUCAGAGGCUUGCUCUCUUAAGGAGAGCCUACCUCUUUUCAAAAUUGCUAAUCCUAUUGCUGGUGAGCCAAUAAGUACUGGUGUUCAAGUGAACUUUGGUAAAAGUCCAUCUAAUCCUUUACAAGAACUAGGGAACACGUGUCAAAAGAAUAGCAUUUCUUCAAUCAACGUGCAGACAGAUCUGUCUUAUGCCUCACAAAACUUUAUACCUUCUGCACAGUGGGCCACUGCUGAUUCCUCUGUGUCGUCUUGUUCUCAAACUGAUUUGUCGUUUGAUUCUCAAGUGUCUCUUCCCAUUAGUGUUCACACUCAGACAUUUUUGCCCAGCUCUAAGGUAACUUCAUCUAUAGCUGCUCAGACUGAUGCAUUUAUGGACACCUGUUUCCAGUCAGGUGGGGUCUCCAGAGAAACUCAAACCAGUGGGAUAGAAAGUCCAACGGAUGACCAUGUACAGAUGGACCAAGCUGGAAUGUGCGGAGACAUUUUUGAGAGUGUUCAUUCAUCAUAUAAUGUUGCUACAGGUAACAUUAUAAGCAACAGUUUAGUAGCAGAGACAGUAACUCAUAGUUUGUUACCUCAGAAUGAGCCUAAGACUUUAAAUCAAGAUAUUGAGAAAUCUGCACCAAUUAUAAAUUUCAGUGCACAGAAUAGUAUGCUUCCUUCACAGAACAUGACAGAUAAUCAGACCCAAACCAUAGAUUUAUUAAGUGAUUUGGAAAACAUCUUGUCAAGUAAUCUGCCUGCUCAGACAUUGGAUCAUCGUAGUCUUUUGUCUGACACAAAUCCUGGACCUGACACCCAGCUCCCAUCUGGCCCAGCCCAGAACCCCGGAAUCGAUUUUGAUAUCGAAGAGUUCUUUUCGGCCUCAAAUAUCCAGACUCAAACUGAAGAGAGUGAACUUAGCACCAUGACCACCGAGCCAGUCUUGGAGUCACUGGACAUAGAGACUCAAACGGACUUCUUACUCGCAGAUACCUCUGCUCAGUCCUAUGGGUGUAGGGGAAAUUCUAACUUCUUAGGCCUUGAGAUGUUUGACACACAGACACAGACAGACUUAAACUUUUUCUUAGACAGUAGCCCUCAUCUGCCUCUGGGAAGUAUUCUGAAACACUCCAGCUUUUCCGUGAGUACUGAUUCAUCUGACACAGAGACCCAAACUGAAGGAGUCUCCACUGCUAAAAAUAUACCUGCUCUAGAAAGCAAAGUUCAGUUGAACAGUACAGAAACACAGACCAUGAGUUCUGGGUUUGAAACCCUGGGGAGCUUGUUCUUCACCAGCAACGAAACUCAGACAGCAAUGGAUGACUUUCUUCUGGCUGAUCUGGCCUGGAACACGAUGGAGUCUCAGUUCAGCUCUGUAGAAACCCAGACUUCUGCGGAACCACACACAGUCUCCAACUUCUAAAACUAACGGUGGAGUCCAUGUGUGAAAUGGCAUCUACCAUUUCCUCUGGAUUAAAACUACGGACUGGGGACAACAGUAUUAAUUCGAUUGAAUGUGGCUGAUGAUGCAGUUGCUUAGCUUCUUUGUGUUUCUUUGCCUUUUGUACUUGUAAACAGAAAUUUGCGUAUAAAUGUGAGUGUAUUAUAAAGUUUGAGAUGUUGAUCU